CGUGGCACAGCCCGUUUCGUUAACACAUCGUUUGACUCAACGACCAAAUUUACUAAAGAAAGAAAACGGAAGAGAAGUAACUGCUCAGCGUCUCGGAGCUCUCCUCUCCUUGCUCACUCACUUCUCUUGCCGCUCGGACUUAGGGUGUCGACUGUUAUCUUUCACAUUGAUCUAUCUCUGAUUCCGUUUUGCACUCAAAAUAAUGUCCAACUUCUCUUACCAGAUCAGAGCAUCCUCGUCUCUGAUCAAACGCCUAAAACAAAGAUUUAUGAAUCCAGCUGCUCUAACGCAGACUGCUAGAUCUAUCACUACAACCGAGGGCCACCGUCCCACUAUUGUGCACAAGCGAAGCCUUGAUAUUCUUCAUGAUCCUUGGUUCAACAAGGGAACAUCGUUUUCUAUAACGGAACGAGAUCGUCUUGAUCUUCGGGGACUUCUUCCUCCGAAUGUUAUGUCUUCUGAGCAACAAAUUGAACGGUUCAUGGCUGACUUGAAGAGGCUUGAAGUGCAUGCUAGAGAUGGACCUUCUGAUCCAAAUGCUUUGGCCAAGUGGCGCAUACUUAAUAGGUUGCAUGACAGAAAUGAAACAAUGUACUAUAAGGUUCUGAUUGCCAAUAUCGAGGAAUAUGCACCCAUCGUAUAUACUCCCACUGUGGGUCUUGUUUGCCAAAAUUACAGUGGUUUAUUUAGAAGGCCAAGAGGAAUGUAUUUCAGUGCUGAGGAUCGUGGAGAAAUGAUGUCCAUGGUUUAUAACUGGCCAGCUGAGCAGGUUGAUAUGAUUGUUGUUACGGAUGGAAGUAGGAUACUAGGUCUUGGAGAUCUUGGAGUCCAGGGGAUUGGAAUUGCAAUUGGGAAGCUGGAUUUAUAUGUUGCUGCUGCUGGGAUAAAUCCUCAAAGGGUGCUUCCUGUCAUGAUUGAUGUUGGAACCAACAAUGAGAAGCUGCUCAAAGACCCCUUGUAUUUGGGAUUGCAAGAACACCGUCUUGAUGGCGAUGAGUAUGUUGCAGUAAUUGAUGAAUUCAUGGAGGCAGUGUUUACUCGUUGGCCACAAGUGAUUGUGCAGUUUGAGGAUUUCCAAAGCAAGUGGGCGUUCAAGCUAUUGCAGCGCUACAGGAAUACCUACAGAAUGUUCAAUGAUGAUGUCCAGGGUACAGCAGGGGUUGCAAUUGCUGGCCUUCUAGGAGCUGUAAGGGCACAAGGCAGGCCAAUGAUUGAUUUUCCCAAACAAAAGAUUGUUGUUGCUGGUGCUGGAAGUGCUGGAAUAGGGGUUCUUAAUGCCGCAAGGAAAACAAUGGCCAGGAUGUUGGGAAAUAAUGAAUCUGCAUUCAAAAGUGCAUUGAGUCAGUUCUGGGUAGUUGAUGCUAAGGGUCUGAUCACAGAGGAACGUGAAAAUAUUGACCCAGAAGCCCUGCCAUUUGCAAGGAAGAUCAAAGAAGCUAAUCGUCAAGGAUUAAGGGAGGGUGCAAGCCUUGCAGAAGUGGUGCGGGAAGUGAAGCCUGAUGUUCUUCUUGGAUUAUCUGCAGUUGGAGGAUUGUUCUCAAAAGAGGUAUUAGAGGCCCUCAAAGGUUCAACUUCAACUAGACCAGCAAUCUUUGCCAUGUCAAACCCUACAAAAAAUGCUGAAUGCACUCCUGAAGAAGCAUUUUCUAUUGUGGGUGACAAUGUUAUAUUUGCAAGUGGAAGUCCUUUCAAAGAUGUGGAUCUUGGAAAUGGUCAUGUUGGCCACUGUAACCAGGGAAACAACAUGUAUCUCUUUCCAGGUAUCGGGCUUGGGACGCUUCUCUCUGGCUCUAGGAUCAUCUCUGAUGGCAUGCUACAGGCUGCAGCUGAAUGCCUAGCUGCAUAUAUGACAGAAGAUGAGGUUCUGCAAGGGAUCAUAUACCCUUCAACAUCUAGGAUACGAGAUAUAACAAAGCAGGUAGCUGCAGCUGUUGUGAAGGAAGCCAUAGAAGAGGAUCUUGCAGAAGGAUAUCGUGAGAUGGAUGCUCGAGAGCUUCGAAAACUUAACGAGGAGGAAAUCCUAGAAUUUGUGAAAAACAACAUGUGGAGUCCAGAGUACCCAACGUUGGUCUAUAAGAAGGAUUGAGCAUAAGUCUCCCAUAACAUUCGUCAUGAUUCUGCUUUGCAAUGCAUUAAUGAGGAUUGCUGUAUGUAUUCAUUCUGUCAAAAGUUGGCAUCAAUAAGUUCGUUUCAAGUUUCUAUAUUUUUUGUCAUUGGCGUAUGUCCGUAGAUCUUAAAUAUGUAUAUUGUAAGUAAAUAUUUCUCAAAUUGCUGCAUUCAAC
This 2282-nucleotide unclassified non-coding RNA is filed under the name Hevea brasiliensis (rubber tree). The record is from RNAcentral. Lineage: Eukaryota; Viridiplantae; Streptophyta; Magnoliopsida; Malpighiales; Euphorbiaceae.